Molecule: long non-coding RNA, 476 nt
Filed under: Mytilus galloprovincialis (Mediterranean mussel)
Lineage: Eukaryota; Metazoa; Mollusca; Bivalvia; Mytilida; Mytilidae
Source: RNAcentral
AAUUUAAUUUCCUCCAGUUUUACUGACAGAAGCUCAUUUAAGAAGGACACAAUAAGCAAGUUCAAAAUUAAUCAGUCAUUAUAACAAUCUGCUCCUUGUAUUCAAACAAGAAAUGGUAAAUCAGAUCACAUGUGGAAGGUAGUGGACUAACAAUCUAUGAGGAGAGAUUUUAAAUUACUGUACAACAGACUAAUUAUGGGCCUCCAAGAUGAAAUACAUUUGUCGUGUCUUUUUAAAAUGUGUGUCACACUUGUACCACAUGGCUUUAACCAUCCAGAUAUGAUUCCUUAAGGAUAAAAAAAAAUUAAAAAAUUAGGUAACAGGAGAUUUCCACUACAUAUAACAAACAAAGCUUAAUACAAAGUAGAAAUCGACUAUCAUGCGUUCAUUGAAUGGUAUGUCAGGAAAGUCUUACAACACAUGUUACCUGAACAUGUCAAUAGGAAUGUCAACAUCAUAUGGUAUACAUCAGAGAG